This 253-nucleotide ribosomal RNA is filed under the name uncultured bacterium. RNAcentral describes it as "partial 16S ribosomal RNA". It matches the Rfam family "Bacterial small subunit ribosomal RNA", at positions 524 to 776 of the family's 1533-position model. The record is from RNAcentral.
GACAGAGGGUGCAAACGUUGUUCGGAAUUACUGGGCGUAAAGCGCGUGUAGGCUGCUUCGCAAGUCGGAUGUGAAAGCCCUGGGCUCAACCCAGGAAGUGCAUUCGAAACUGCAGAGCUGGAGUCCUGGAGAGGAAGGCGGAAUUCUCGGUGUAGAGGUGAAAUUCGUAGAUAUCGAGAGGAACACCGGUGGCGAAGGCGAGUCUCUGGGAUGAUGCUGACGCUGAUGCGCGAAAGCCAGGGGAGCAAACGGG